Molecule: ribosomal RNA, 484 nt
Filed under: uncultured bacterium
Lineage: Bacteria
Description: partial 16S ribosomal RNA
Rfam family: Bacterial small subunit ribosomal RNA
Source: RNAcentral
GACGAACGCUGGCGGCGUGCUUAACACAUGCAAGUCGAACGAUGAAGCCGGAGCUUGCUCUGGUGGAUUAGUGGCGAACGGGUGAGUAACACGUGAGUAACCUGCCCUUGACUCUGGGAUAAGCGUUGGAAACGACGUCUAAUACCGGAUACGAGCUAGGACCGCAUGGUCACUAGCUGGAAAGAAUUUCGGUCAAGGAUGGACUCGCGGCCUAUCAGUUAGUUGGUGAGGUAACGGCUCACCAAGACGACGACGGGUAGCCGGCCUGAGAGGGGGGCCGGCCACACUGGGAGUGAGACACGGCCCAGACUCCUACGGGAGGCAGCAGUGGGGAAUAUUGCACAAUGGGCGCAAGCCUGAUGCAGCAACGCCGCGUGGGGGACGACGGCCUUCGGGUUGUAAACCUCUUUUAGCAGGGAAGAAGCGCAAGUGACGGUACCUGCAGAAAAAGCACCGGCUAACUACGUGCCAGCCGCCGCGGUAA